This 75-nucleotide transfer RNA is filed under the name Shewanella baltica. RNAcentral describes it as "tRNA-OTHER". It matches the Rfam family "tRNA". Rfam says of the family: Transfer RNA (tRNA) molecules are approximately 80 nucleotides in length. Their secondary structure includes four short double-helical elements and three loops (D, anti-codon, and T loops). The record is from RNAcentral. RNAcentral also lists the same sequence under 7 other names. Lineage: Bacteria; Pseudomonadati; Pseudomonadota; Gammaproteobacteria; Alteromonadales; Shewanellaceae.
UGGCGUGUACUCUUAACUGGUAAAGCAGACUCUGAUCAUUCAGGGUGUAUGUGGGUUCGACUCCCACCACGCCAC